Molecule: ribosomal RNA, 497 nt
Filed under: uncultured bacterium
Lineage: Bacteria
Description: partial 16S ribosomal RNA
Rfam family: Bacterial small subunit ribosomal RNA
Source: RNAcentral
GAUGAACGCUGGCGGCGUGCCUAAUACAUGCAAGUCGAGCGAACAGAUAAGGAGCUUGCUCCUUUGACGUUAGCGGCGGACGGGUGAGUAACACGUGGGUAACCUACCUAUAAGACUGGAAUAACUCCGGGAAACCGGGGCUAAUGCCGGAUAACAUUUAGAACCGCAUGGUUCUAAAGUGAAAGAUGGUUUUGCUAUCACUUAUAGAUGGACCCGCGCCGUAUUAGCUAGUUGGUAAGGUAACGGCUUACCAAGGCAACGAUACGUAGCCGACCUGAGAGGGUGAUCGGCCACACUGGAACUGAGACACGGUCCAGACUCCUAAGGGAGGCAGCAGUAGGGAAUCUUCCGCAAUGGGCGAAAGCCUGACGGAGCAACGCCGCGUGAGUGAUGAAGGUCUUCGGGUCGUAAAACUCUGUUAUUAGGGAAGAACAAAUGUGUAAGUAACUGUGCACGUCUUGACGGUACCUAAUCAGAAAGCCACGGCUAACUACGUG